GGUGGAGCGAUUUGUCUGGUUAAUUCCGAUAACGAACGAGACUCUGGCCUAUUAAAUAGACGGUAUAUCGAAAAGUAUAUCGCGCUUCUUAGAGGGACAAGCGGCGUCUAGCCGCAUGAAAUAGAGCAAUAACAGGUCUGUGAUGCCCUUAGAUGUCCGGGGCUGCACGCGCGCUACACUGAAAGAAUCAGAGUGCGCUUACACCUAGUCCGGAAGGACCGGGUAACCCAAGUAAAUUCUUUCGUGCUUGGGAUAGGGAAUUGCAAUUAUUUCCCUUAAACGAGGAAUUCCCAGUAAAUGCGGGUCAUAAGCUCGCGUUGAAUACGUCCCUGCCCUUUGUAC
RNAcentral lists this ribosomal RNA (342 nucleotides) under Nematoda environmental sample. RNAcentral describes it as "SSU rRNA". It matches the Rfam family "Eukaryotic small subunit ribosomal RNA", at positions 1300 to 1665 of the family's 1831-position model. Lineage: Eukaryota; Metazoa; Nematoda. The record is from RNAcentral.